RNAcentral lists this ribosomal RNA (518 nucleotides) under Theileria ovis. RNAcentral's name for it is "SSU rRNA". It matches the Rfam family "Eukaryotic small subunit ribosomal RNA", at positions 561 to 1111 of the family's 1831-position model. Lineage: Eukaryota; Apicomplexa; Aconoidasida; Piroplasmida; Theileriidae. The record is from RNAcentral.
CUGGUGCCAGCAGCCGCGGUAAUUCCUGCUCCAAUAGCGUAUAUUAAAAUUGUUGCAGUUAAAAAGCUCGUAGUUGAAUUUCUGCUGCAUUGCUUUUGCUCCUUUACGAGUCUUUGCAUUGUGGCUUAUUUCGGACUUUGUUUUACAAUGUCCGGAUGUUUACUUUGAGAAAAUUAGAGUGCUCAAAGCAGGCUUUCGCCUUGAAUAGUUUAGCAUGGAAUAAUAAAGUAGGACUUUGGUUCUAUUUUGUUGGUUUUAGGUACCAAAGUAAUGGUUAAUAGGAACAGUUGGGGGCAUUCGUAUUUAACUGUCAGAGGUGAAAUUCUUAGAUUUGUUAAAGACGAACUACUGCGAAAGCAUUUGCCAAGGAUGUUUUCAUUAAUCAAGAACGAAAGUUAGGGGAUCGAAGACGAUCAGAUACCGUCGUAGUCCUAACCAUAAACUAUGCCGACUAGAGAUUGGAGGUCGUCAGUUUUUACGACUCCUUCAGCACCUUGAGAGAAAUCAAAGUCUUUGGA